GAGUGAGUGAAGAUUGUGUUUUAUGUGUAUUAUGUGUGGUGAGUGAGUGAGUGAAUGUUUUAUACUAUGUAAAUGCACUGCAGUAAUUAUAGACAAUUUAAUUGUGUUUUAUGUAGA
This is a long non-coding RNA of Sphaeramia orbicularis (orbiculate cardinalfish), 117 nucleotides long. RefSeq lists it as uncharacterized. The record is from RefSeq and is a predicted model, not a curated record. The transcript has 3 exons. Lineage: Eukaryota; Metazoa; Chordata; Actinopteri; Kurtiformes; Apogonidae.